AGCGAACGCUGGCGGCAGGCUUAACACAUGCAAGUCGAGCGGGCCCUUCGGGGUCAGCGGCAGACGGGUGAGUAACACGUGGGAACGUACCCUUUGGUUCGGAAUAACGCUGGGAAACUAGCGCUAAUACCGGAUACGCCCUUUUGGGGAAAGGCUUGCUGCCGAAGGAUCGGCCCGCGUCUGAUUAGCUAGUUGGUGGGGUAAUGGCCUACCAAGGCGACGAUCAGUAGCUGGUCUGAGAGGAUGAUCAGCCACACUGGGACUGAGACACGGCCCAGACUCCUACGGGAGGCAGCAGUGGGGAAUAUUGGACAAUGGGCGCAAGCCUGAUCCAGCCAUGCCGCGUGAGUGAUGAAGGCCUUAGGGUUGUAAAGCUCCUUUGUCCGGGACGAUAAUGACGGUACCGGAAGAAUAAGCCCCGGCUAACUUCGUG
This 433-nucleotide ribosomal RNA is filed under the name uncultured bacterium. RNAcentral's name for it is "partial 16S ribosomal RNA". It matches the Rfam family "Bacterial small subunit ribosomal RNA", at positions 29 to 507 of the family's 1533-position model. The record is from RNAcentral.